Molecule: ribosomal RNA, 797 nt
Filed under: Bacillus pumilus
Lineage: Bacteria; Bacillati; Bacillota; Bacilli; Caryophanales; Bacillaceae
Description: bacterial SSU rRNA
Rfam family: Bacterial small subunit ribosomal RNA
Source: RNAcentral
AUAUUGGGCGUAAGGGCUCGCAGGCGGUUUCUUAAGUCUGAUGUGAAAGCCCCCGGCUCAACCGGGGAGGGUCAUUGGAAACUGGGAAACUUGAGUGCAGAAGAGGAGAGUGGAAUUCCACGUGUAGCGGUGAAAUGCGUAGAGAUGUGGAGGAACACCAGUGGCGAAGGCGACUCUCUGGUCUGUAACUGACGCUGAGGAGCGAAAGCGUGGGGAGCGAACAGGAUUAGAUACCCUGGUAGUCCACGCCGUAAACGAUGAGUGCUAAGUGUUAGGGGGUUUCCGCCCCUUAGUGCUGCAGCUAACGCAUUAAGCACUCCGCCUGGGGAGUACGGUCGCAAGACUGAAACUCAAAGGAAUUGACGGGGGCCCGCACAAGCGGUGGAGCAUGUGGUUUAAUUCGAAGCAACGCGAAGAACCUUACCAGGUCUUGACAUCCUCUGACAACCCUAGAGAUAGGGCUUUCCCUUCGGGGACAGAGUGACAGGUGGUGCAUGGUUGUCGUCAGCUCGUGUCGUGAGAUGUUGGGUUAAGUCCCGCAACGAGCGCAACCCUUGAUCUUAGUUGCCAGCAUUCAGUUGGGCACUCUAAGGUGACUGCCGGUGACAAACCGGAGGAAGGUGGGGAUGACGUCAAAUCAUCAUGCCCCUUAUGACCUGGGCUACACACGUGCUACAAUGGACAGAACAAAGGGCUGCAAGACCGCAAGGUUUAGCCAAUCCCAUAAAUCUGUUCUCAGUUCGGAUCGCAGUCUGCGACUCGACUGCGUGAAGCUGGAAUCGCUAGUAAUCGCGGAU